Molecule: ribosomal RNA, 301 nt
Filed under: uncultured bacterium
Lineage: Bacteria
Description: partial 16S ribosomal RNA
Rfam family: Bacterial small subunit ribosomal RNA
Source: RNAcentral
CAGCCGCCGCGGUAAUACGAAGGGGGCUAGCGUUGCUCGGAAUUACUGGGCGUAAAGGGAGCGUAGGCGGAUCGUUUAGUCAGGGGUGAAAUCCCGGGGCUCAACCUCGGAACUGCCUUUGAUACUGGCGAUCUUGAGUAUGGGAGAGGUGUGUGGAACUCCGAGUGUAGAGGUGAAAUUCGUAGAUAUUCGGAAGAACACCAGUGGCGAAGGCGUCACACUGGCCCAUUACUGACGCUGAGGCUCGAAAGCGUGGGGAGCGAACAGGAUUAGAUACCCCCGUAGUCCCUGUCUCUUAUAC